Non-coding RNA from Vicugna pacos (alpaca), 1613 nucleotides. Lineage: Eukaryota; Metazoa; Chordata; Mammalia; Artiodactyla; Camelidae. The record is from RefSeq and is a predicted model, not a curated record.
UUUCCUUUGUGCUUGGCCUCAAUACUUCUCUUAUUUAAUACCGGGCUUCAGAGCUACACUGUUCAAACGCUGCAGAUACUGUGUUUGCAGAAUGGAUGACAAUCUUGCAAAUCAGGGACCACUGAAAGCACGAUAAGAAAAUAAAUACGAGGAGUGGUGGAGAGGCCAGGCUCUGGAUCCAGCGGUGUAAUUUUUUAACCUCUAAGGCUCCAGUUGUAAAACAAGGACAAUAACAGUGCCGACCUCACAGUGAUCUGAGGACUGAAUGAGAGAUGUACUGUGCUCAGCCCGGUGCCAGGCCCAUGGAAAGCCAUCGGGAAGCCCCAGUGUUCAUCAUGUCCAGAGUGAAUAUGGUUCUUGCUCUGCCACUUUUCACAUAGUCAGAGUUUGGAAAGUAUUUUCAGCUUUUUUGGGGGGGUCAAACCCCCAUGCUGACUCAACUGAGGGAGGUUGAUUUAAAACGGAAAUGACAUUUGAUGAAUAUGUUUAUUGUCUAAAAUUCAUGAAAUGCUGGAAAAUGUUUUUAAAAAUCUAAGAUUUCUUUUUAGCUAGAGUCAGAAAUUCCCCCAGGGUUGUAUGAAAACCUCUAGAAACAUUAGGUACCCAGGAAGCGUUUCCAGCCUCCAGACCCUUUCAAGAACACACAUCUACUCCCUAAUAUCAUUAUUUGCUUGGACACAUCGUGUGAACUAGCAUCUUUUUAAAAAGUAAAAGGGAAACCUCUGUUGCCCUUAUGUUUUAACCAAUAAUGCAUUGGACGUUCCAGGUAAAGUCUACAUCAGUUUCCUUCUAAAAGAUUGUAAAUCUGAGCUUCUUAAGCUAAUAGCUGUGGCUAUUCUCCUGCUGGUAGCACCUCAGGGGAAAAAAAUCUGCUGAAGGAAGCAGACCGCUCAGUUUUGCUGAUCUUUUCCUCUGCCUUUGAUGCCACGGGCUGGUAUCAAGUGUGAACUAAGCUCUUUGAAUUCAAAAUAGAAGCCCAAAUAUUGAUUUUAAUAGAGAACUACCUCUUUAUCAGUACAAGUGACAGGGCCUGGGGGAACAUUCUUCACAUGGGUCUGAUAACAAUGUUUACUGGGACUAUGAGGGGCAGGCCCUGGACCUCUGGACCCAAAGGAUUUGAGAUCACUUUUGGAUGAGCUGAAUGCGCACAGAGUAAAACAAUAACCACUCUUCCAUGUGCAGGCAACGUGAUUCAUUGUCACACAACAGUAAUUAUCUUAACAGAGCCUGGCCCUGCUAUUUAUAACACUAUUAUAAAUCAGAGCUAAAGCUUAAUAUUUCCAAAGAAAAAGCUGUAAUUUUUGGAAAAUGACUUCUAACAUUUUUGAGAAUACAACUCAUUCAGUUAACUAAGAGUACAUUUUACAAGUGCAAGAAGUACCUAAUAAGAAGUUGUGUUAAUUAAAUGUUAGCCUCCGAGAAUGCUUUGUGGGAGAUUUUUUUAAUAGCAUGAAACAGACUAGUUAACACUGGUCUCGAAUUUUUUUUUUUUGAAGAUAAAAAUCAUAGUCGUACUCUGGGACAGUGUUUCUCAGUCUUGGGUUAUGUGUAGACCCCUUUGUAAAAUGUUUAAAUUAUGCUGUAUUUGAUACAUACAAAAUAAUAUAAAACAU